UACGGAGGGGGCUAGCGUUGUUCGGAAUUACUGGGCGUAAAGCGCACGUAGGCGGCUUGGUAAGUUAGAGGUGAAAGCCCGGGGCUCAACUCCGGAACUGCCUUUAAGACUGCAUCGCUUGAAUCCAGGAGAGGUGAGUGGAAUUCCGAGUGUAGAGGUGAAAUUCGUAGAUAUUCGGAAGAACACCAGUGGCGAAGGCGGCUCACUGGACUGGUAUUGACGCUGAGGUGCGAAAGCGUGGGGAGCAAACAGG
RNAcentral lists this ribosomal RNA (253 nucleotides) under uncultured bacterium. RNAcentral's name for it is "partial 16S ribosomal RNA". It matches the Rfam family "Bacterial small subunit ribosomal RNA", at positions 524 to 776 of the family's 1533-position model. The record is from RNAcentral.